This 417-nucleotide ribosomal RNA is filed under the name uncultured bacterium. RNAcentral describes it as "bacterial SSU rRNA". It matches the Rfam family "Bacterial small subunit ribosomal RNA", at positions 30 to 451 of the family's 1533-position model. The record is from RNAcentral.
AUUGAACGCUGGCGGCAUGCCUUACACAUGCAAGUCGAACGGCAGCGCGGGGCAACCUGGCGGCGAGUGGCGAACGGGUGAGUAAUAUAUCGGAACAUACCCUAGAGUGGGGGAUAACGUAGCGAAAGUUACGCUAAUACCGCAUACGCACUAAGGUGGAAAGUGGGGGAUCUUCGGACCUCAUGCUCAUGGAGUGGCCGAUAUCUGAUUAGCUAGUUGGUGAGGUAAAGGCUCACCAAGGCAACGAUCAGUAGCUGGUUUGAGAGAACGACCAGCCACACUGGAACUGAGACACGGUCCAGACUCCUACGGGAGGCAGCAGUGGGGAAUUUUGGACAAUGGGGGGCAACCCUGAUCCAGCAAUGCCGCGUGAGUGAAGAAGGCCUCGGUGUAAGACUCUUUGUCUAGGGAAGAAAC